This 545-nucleotide ribosomal RNA is filed under the name Cochlespira pulchella. RNAcentral describes it as "partial 12S ribosomal RNA". The record is from RNAcentral. Lineage: Eukaryota; Metazoa; Mollusca; Gastropoda; Neogastropoda; Turridae.
CACCAAGAAAUUAAGUCAUAUCUACACGGUAAAAGGCGGUUAAACUAGGCACUUCAAGCUAUAAGAUAAUUUAUAAAAAGGUAAAAUUUGAACAUAAAUUUAUAUAUUAACAAUAACUUAUAUAGUUGAAUCCGCGAGAGCCCUGAGGGAAACUGGGAUUAGAUACCCCAUUAUUCUAGGCCAUAAAUUUGAUCAAAAUCUACCAGAGUACUACGAAUACUAUAAAAUUUAAAACUCAAAGGGCUUGGCGGUGUUUUAGACCACUCAGGGGAACCUGUCUCGUAAUCGACAAUCCACGAUAAACCUAACCUUUCCUUACUUCAGUUUGUAUACCGUCGUCGUCAGGUAACUUUUAAAAAGCCAGAAGUUAGCCAGAAAACACUAUAAGUUAAAACGUCAGAUCAAGGUGCAGCUUACGAAAAGGCGUAGAUGGGUUACAUUUAUCUAAUUAUAACUACGGAAAAUUAUUAUAAUAAAUAAUUUAAAGGAGGACUUGAAAGUAAAUUAAAUUAUAUAAAUAAUUUGAAUAAGGCUCUGAAACGUGC